GGAGAGGUGGCCGAGUGGUUGAAGGCGCACGCCUGGAACGCGUGUAUGGGUGCAAGCCCAUCGAGGGUUCGAAUCCCUCUCUCUCCGCCA
This 90-nucleotide transfer RNA is filed under the name Alphaproteobacteria bacterium. Its description in RNAcentral is "tRNA-Ser". It matches the Rfam family "tRNA". Rfam says of the family: Transfer RNA (tRNA) molecules are approximately 80 nucleotides in length. Their secondary structure includes four short double-helical elements and three loops (D, anti-codon, and T loops). Lineage: Bacteria; Pseudomonadati; Pseudomonadota; Alphaproteobacteria. The record is from RNAcentral. RNAcentral also lists the same sequence under 1 other name.